AUCUCUUGAGUAUGAACUAGUACAGUUGCCUUCCAAGCAGAAAGAUUAAACAUUUUUAAAAGAGAUA
This 67-nucleotide transfer RNA is filed under the name Modulus modulus. RNAcentral describes it as "tRNA-Gly". Lineage: Eukaryota; Metazoa; Mollusca; Gastropoda; Modulidae. The record is from RNAcentral.